RNAcentral lists this ribosomal RNA (497 nucleotides) under uncultured bacterium. RNAcentral describes it as "partial 16S ribosomal RNA". It matches the Rfam family "Bacterial small subunit ribosomal RNA", at positions 29 to 523 of the family's 1533-position model. The record is from RNAcentral.
AUUGAACGCUGGCGGCAUGCCUUACACAUGCAAGUCGAACGCGAAAGGGGGCAACCCCGAGUAGAGUGGCGAACGGGUGAGCAAUACAUCGGAACACGUCCUGUAGCGGGGGACAACCUCGAGAAAUCGAGGCUAAUACCGCAUACGAUCUACGGAUGAAAGUGGGGGACCGCAAGGCCCCACACUAUAGGAGUGGCCGAUGCCGGAUUAGCUAGUUGGCGGGGUAAUAGCCCACCAAGGCUACGAUCCGUAGCUGGUUUGAGAGAACGACCAGCCACACUGGGACUGAGACACGGCCCAGACCCCUACGGGAGGCAGCAGUGGGGAAUUUUGGACAAUGGGCGAAAGCCUGAUCCAGCCAUGCCGCGUGAGUGAAGAAGGCCUUCGGGUUGUAAAGCUCUUUCGGCGGGGACGAAAUGGCGCGGGGUAACAUCCCGCGUCGAUGACGGUACCCGAAGAAGAAGGACCGGCUAACUACGUGCCAGCAGCCGCGGUAA